GUCCAUGCCCUAAACGAUGUCAACUGGUUGUUGGGUCUUCACUGACUCAGUAACGAAGCUAACGCGUGAAGUUGACCGCCUGGGGAGUACGGCCGCAAGGUUGAAACUCAAAGGAAUUGACGGGGACCCCGCACAAGCGGUGGAUGAUGUGGUUUAAUUCGAUGCAACGCGAAAAACCUUACCCACCUUUGACAUGUACGGAAGUUACCAGAGAUGGUUUCGUGCUCGAAAGAGAACCGUAACACAGGUGCUGCAUGGCUGUCGU
RNAcentral lists this ribosomal RNA (265 nucleotides) under uncultured bacterium. Its description in RNAcentral is "partial 16S ribosomal RNA". It matches the Rfam family "Bacterial small subunit ribosomal RNA", at positions 793 to 1055 of the family's 1533-position model. The record is from RNAcentral.